GCAAGGACAGCUUCCUACCCAUCAUAAAAAGGCCUCUUGCACACGGCGUUGCUGGCCGUGACCCAUGUUGCGGCCCGCAAUAUGUGUGCUCCCUGCAUCACAGAUGCGGACCCAUUCACUUGAAUGGGUCCGCAAUCCGGA
Bufo bufo (common toad) is the source of this 141-nucleotide long non-coding RNA. RefSeq lists it as uncharacterized. The transcript has 3 exons. Lineage: Eukaryota; Metazoa; Chordata; Amphibia; Anura; Bufonidae. The record is from RefSeq and is a predicted model, not a curated record.